GGUUAAGUUAGAAAGGGCGCACGGUGGAUGCCUUGGCACUAGGAGCCGAAGAAGGACGGGACUAACACCGAUAUGCUUUGGGGAGCUGUACGUAAGCGUUGAUCCAGAGAUUUCCGAAUGGGGGAACCCACUAUCUUUAGUCGGAUAGUAUCCUUACGUGAAUACAUAGCGUGAGGAAGGCAGACCCAGGGAACUGAAACAUCUAAGUACCUGGAGGAAGAGAAAGAAAAAUCGAUUUCCUGAGUAGCGGCGAGCGAAACGGAAAGAGCCCAAACCAAGAAGCUUGCUUCUUGGGGUUGUAGGACACUCUAUACGGAGUUACAAAAGAAAGUUAUAAAUGAAGCGGUCUGGAAAGGCCCGCCAAAGACGGUAACAGCCCGGUAGUUGAAAUGGCUUUCCCUCCAGAGUGGAUCCUGAGUACGGCGGAACACGUGAAAUUCCGUCGGAAUCCGGGAGGACCAUCUCCCAAGGCUAAAUACUCCCUAGUGACCGAUAGUGAACCAGUACCGUGAGGGAAAGGUGAAAAGCACCCCGGAAGGGGAGUGAAACAGUUCCUGAAACCGUGUGCCUACAAGUAGUUAGAGCCCGUUAAUGGGUGAUAGCGUGCCUUUUGUAGAAUGAACCGGCGAGUUACGAUUUGUUGCAAGGUUAAGCGGAAAAAGCGGAGCCGUAGCGAAAGCGAGUCUGAAUAGGGCGCAUAAGUAACAGGUCGUAGACCCGAAACCAGGUGAUCUACCCAUGUCCAGGAUGAAGGUAAGGUAAUACUUACUGGAGGUCCGAACCCACGCACGUUGAAAAGUGCGGGGAUGAGGUGUGGGUAGCGGAGAAAUUCCAAUCGAACUUGGAGAUAGCUGGUUCUCUCCGAAAUAGCUUUAGGGCUAGCCUCGAGGUAAAGAGUCAUGGAGGUAGAGCACUGUUUGGACUAGGGGCCCUUCUCGGGUUACCGAAUUCAGAUAAACUCCGAAUGCCAUGUACUUAUACUCGGGAGUCAGACUGCGAGUGAUAAGAUCCGUAGUCGAAAGGGAAACAGCCCAGACCACCAGUUAAGGUCCCCAAAUAUAUGUUAAGUGGAAAAGGAUGUGGGGUUGCUUAGACAACCAGGAUGUUGGCUUAGAAGCAGCCACCAUUGAAAGAGUGCGUAAUAGCUCACUGGUCGAGUGACCCCGCGCCGAAAAUGUACCGGGGCUAAACAUAUUACCGAAACUGUGGAUGAACCUCUUUAGAGGUUCGUGGUAGGAGAGCGUUCUAAGGGCGGUGAAGUCAGACCGGAAGGACUGGUGGAGCGCUUAGAAGUGAGAAUGCCGGUAUGAGUAGCGAAAGAAGGGUGAGAAUCCCUUCCACCGAAUAUCUAAGGUUUCCUGAGGAAGGCUCGUCCGCUCAGGGUUAGUCGGGACCUAAGCCGAGGCCGAUAGGCGUAGGCGAUGGACAACAGGUAGAGAUUCCUGUACCAGUGCUAAUUGUUUAACCGAUGGGGUGACACAGAAGGAUAGGGAAUCGCACGAAUGGAAAUGUGCGUCCAAGCAGUGAGUGUGAGAAGUAGGCAAAUCCGCUUCUCGCGAAGCAUGAGCUGUGAUGGGGAAGGAAAUUAAGUACGGAAGUUCCUGAUUUCACGCUGUCAAGAAAAGCCUCUAGGAAGAGUAGUACUGCCCGUACCGCAAACCGACACAGGUAGAUGAGGAGAGAAUCCUAAGGUGAGCGAGAGAACUCUCGUUAAGGAACUCGGCAAAAUGACCCCGUAACUUCGGGAGAAGGG
RNAcentral lists this ribosomal RNA (1753 nucleotides) under Listeria monocytogenes. RNAcentral's name for it is "partial 23S ribosomal RNA". It matches the Rfam family "Bacterial large subunit ribosomal RNA", at positions 1 to 1747 of the family's 2925-position model. The record is from RNAcentral. Lineage: Bacteria; Bacillati; Bacillota; Bacilli; Caryophanales; Listeriaceae.